AGGGGGGUUUGAUCAUGGGCUCAGGACGAACGCUGGCGGCGUGCCUAAUACAUGCAAGUCGAGCGAAUGGAGGAGAGCUUGCUCUCCAAAGUUAGCGGCGGACGGGUGAGUAACACGUGGGCAACCUGCCUAUAAGACUGGGAUAACUUCGGGAAACCGGAGCUAAUACCGGAUAGAUUCUUUCCUCUCAUGAGGAAAGAAGGAAAGAUGGUUUCGGCUAUCACUUAUAGAUGGGCCCGCGGCGCAUUAGCUAGUUGGUAAGGUAACGGCUUACCAAGGCGACGAUGCGUAGCCGACCUGAGAGGGUGAUCGGCCACACUGGGACUGAGACACGGCCCAGACUCCUACGGGAGGCAGCAGUAGGGAAUCUUCCGCAAUGGACGAAAGUCUGACGGAGCAACGCCGCGUGAACGAUGAAGGCCUUCGGGUCGUAAAGUUCUGUUGUUAGGGAAGAACAAGUACGAGAGUAACUGCUCGUACCUUGACGGUACCUAACCAGAAAGCCACGGCUAACUACGUGCCAGCAGCCGCGGUAAUACGUAGGUGGCAAGCGUUGUCCGGAAUUAUUGGGCGUAAAGCGCGCGCAGGUGGUUCCUUAAGUCCGAUGUGAAAGCCCACGGCUCAACCGUGGAAGGUCAUUGGAAACUGGGGAACUUGAGUGCAGAAGAGGAAAGUGGAAUUCCAAGUGUAGCGGUGAAAUGCGUAGAUAUUUGGAGGAACACCAGUGGCGAAGGCGACUUUCUGGUCUGUAACUGACACUG
Molecule: ribosomal RNA, 761 nt
Filed under: uncultured Bacillota bacterium
Lineage: Bacteria; Bacillati; Bacillota
Description: bacterial SSU rRNA
Rfam family: Bacterial small subunit ribosomal RNA
Source: RNAcentral